RNAcentral lists this ribosomal RNA (1484 nucleotides) under uncultured bacterium. Its description in RNAcentral is "bacterial SSU rRNA". It matches the Rfam family "Bacterial small subunit ribosomal RNA". The record is from RNAcentral.
UAGAGUUUGAUCCUGGCUCAGGACGAACGCUGGCGGCGUGCUUAACACAUGCAAGUCGAGCGAUGAAGUUUCUUCGGAAAUGGAUUAGCGGCGAACGGGUGAGGAACACGUGAAGAAUCUGCCCUCCACUUUGGGAUAACACCGGGAAACCGGUGCUAAUACCGAAUAUUGAAACAUAAGUGGCAUCACUGAGUUUUGAAAGAAUUUCGGUGGAGGAUGACUUCGCGGCCUAUCAGCUAGUUGGUGAGGUAAUGGCUCACCAAGGCAACGACGGGUAGCCGGCCUGAGAGGGCGACCGGCCACACUGGGACUGAGACACGGCCCAGACUCCUACGGGAGGCAGCAGUGGGGAAUAUUGGGCAAUGGAGGAAACUCUGACCCAGCGACGCCGCGUGCGGGAUGAAGGCCUUCGGGUUGUAAACCGCUUUCAGCAGGGAAGAAGCGAAAGUGACGGUACCUGCAGAAGGAGCACCGGCUAACUAUGUGCCAGCAGCCGCGGUAAUACAUAGGGUGCAAGCGUUGUCCGGAAUUAUUGGGCGUAAAGAGCUCGUAGGUGGUUCGUCACGUCGGAUGUGAAACUCUGGGGCUUAACCCCAGACCUGCAUUCGAUACGGGCGAGCUUGAGUAUGGUAGGGGAGUCUGGAAUUCCUGGUGUAGCGGUGGAAUGCGCAGAUAUCAGGAGGAACACCAAUGGCGAAGGCACAUCUCUGGGCCGUAACUGACGCUGAGGAGCGAAAGCGUGGGGAGCGAACAGGAUUAGAUACCCUGGUAGUCCACGCCGUAAACGGUGGGUGCUAGCUGUGGGCCACAUUCCACGUGGUCCGUGACGAAGUUAACACAUUAAGCACCCCGCCUGGGGAGUACGGCCGCAAGGCUAAAACUCAAAGGAAUUGACGGGGGCCCGCACAAGCGGCGGAGCAUGCGGAUUAAUUCGAUGCAACGCGAAGAGCCUUACCAAGGCUUGACAUAUAGAGGAAAAGUGCAGAAAUGUACUCCCCGCAAGGUCUCUAUACAGGUGGUGCAUGGUUGUCGUCAGCUCGUGUCGUGAGAUGUUGGGUUAAGUCCCGCAACGAGCGCAACCCUCGUCCUAUGUUGCCAGCACGUAAUGGUGGGAACUCAUGGGAUACUGCCGGGGUCAACUCGGAGGAAGGUGGGGAUGACGUCAAAUCAUCAUGCCCCUUAUGUCCAGGGCUUCACACGUGCUACAUUGGCGCAUACAAAGGGCUGCGAUACCGCGAGGUGGAGCCAAUCCCAAAAAGUGCGUCUCGGCUCGGAUUGGAGGCUGAAACUCGCCUCCAUGAAGGCGGAGUUGCUAGUAAUCCCGGAUCAGCAAUGCCGGGGUGAAUACGUUCCCGGGUCUUGUACACACCGCCCGUCACACCACGAAAGCAAGCAACACCCGAAGUCGGUGAGCUAACUCGCAAGAGAGGCAGCCGCCGAAGGUGGGGCUCGUGAUUGGGGUGAAGUCGUAACAAGGUAACCGU